AACUAACGCUGGCGGCGUGCCUAACACAUGCAAGUCGUACGAGAAAGUUGGCUUCGGCCGAUGAGUACAGUGGCGCACGGGUGAGUAACGCGUGGAUAAUCUGCCCUUAAGUGUGGAAUAACGUACCGAAAGGUGCGCUAAUACCGCAUAAUGCCUGGCAACAUAAGUUGUCCGGCCAAAGAAGGCCUCUGCUUGCAAGCUUUCGCUAAAGGAUGAGUCCGCGUACUAUUAGCUAGUUGGUGGGGUAACGGCCUACCAAGGCGACGAUGGUUAGCUGGUCUGAGAGGAUGAUCAGCCACACUGGAACUGAGACACGGUCCAGACUCCUACGGGAGGCAGCAGUGAGGAAUAUUGCGCAAUGGGGGCAACCCUGACGCAGCAACGCCGCGUGAGUGAGGAAGGUUUUCGGACUGUAAAGCUCUGUCGAGCGGGAAGAAGUGUACCAUGGCUAAUAUCCAUGAUAUUUGACGGUACCGCUAGAGG
This 483-nucleotide ribosomal RNA is filed under the name uncultured bacterium. Its description in RNAcentral is "bacterial SSU rRNA". It matches the Rfam family "Bacterial small subunit ribosomal RNA", at positions 29 to 487 of the family's 1533-position model. The record is from RNAcentral.